Molecule: ribosomal RNA, 468 nt
Filed under: uncultured bacterium
Lineage: Bacteria
Description: partial 16S ribosomal RNA
Rfam family: Bacterial small subunit ribosomal RNA
Source: RNAcentral
GACGAACGCUGGCGGCGUGCUUAACACAUGCAAGUCGAACGGAAAGGCCAUGCUUUUGUGGGGUGCUCGAGUGGCGAACGGGUGAGUAACACGUGAGUAACCUGCCCUUGACUUUGGGAUAAAUUCAGGAAAAUGGGGCUAAUACCGGAUAGGAGCUCCUGCUGCAUGGUGGGGGUUGGAAAGAUUCGGCGGUUGGGGAUGGACUCGCGGCUUAUCAGCUUGUUGGUGGGGUAGUGGCUUACCAAGGCUUUGACGGGUAGCCGGCCUGAGAGGGUGACCGGCCACAUUGGGACUGCGAUACGGCCCAGACUCCUACGGGAGGCAGCAGUGGGGAAUAUUGCACAAUGGGCGGAAGCCUGAUGCAGCAACGCCGCGUGCGGGAUGACGGCCUUCGGGUUGUAAACCGCUUUCGCCUGUGACGAAGCGUGAGUGACGGUAAUGGGUAAAGAAGCACCGGCUAACUACGUG